UACAGAGGGUGCGAGCGUUAAUCGGAAUUACUGGGCGUAAAGCGCGCGUAGGCGGCUUUGCAAGUCGGGUGUGAAAUCCCCAGGCUUAACCUGGGAACUGCAUUCGAGACUGCAUUGCUAGAGUAUGGGAGAGGGAAGUGGAAUUUCCGGUGUAGCGGUGAAAUGCGUGGAUAUCGGAAGGAACAUCAGUGGCGAAAGCGACUUCCUGGACCAAUACUGACGCUCAUGUGCGAAAGCGUGGGGAGCAAACAGG
This 253-nucleotide ribosomal RNA is filed under the name uncultured bacterium. RNAcentral describes it as "partial 16S ribosomal RNA". It matches the Rfam family "Bacterial small subunit ribosomal RNA", at positions 524 to 776 of the family's 1533-position model. The record is from RNAcentral.